UGGGGAUGGAUUUCUUUCUGAAGAUCCUUCUUUGAUGAAUCUUUCUUAUCCAAACCUAGCAUCUUCUGAAUAGAUGGAGGCUUUCAUCACCGUCUGUCUCCUCCUGACUGCACCACUGAACUCCAGGCCAUCUUUGGCACAGCAGGAAGAGUUGUAAAGUCAGUGAUUUGAGUUAUCUGUCCUCAUCCAGAAGUGGUCUUCUGAGGCAAACCUAGAUCUGCUGAACUGGGUGCCCACUGGUCACAACCACCUGAUAUUUCUUCAAUCGUAAACCAAGAGGACAAAGAGGGACAGAAAUGACCUCGCCAUGUCCUGAUAAAUCUUUACUUGCUCAAGAAUGAUAGCUAAUCACUCAAUGUGAAGAUUUAUUUUGCUGCAUGCUGAGAUUAGCAAUGAGAUUUUUCAUCAUUUGCUGGAUGUUUGGUAUACUGC
Tympanuchus pallidicinctus (lesser prairie-chicken) is the source of this 432-nucleotide long non-coding RNA. RefSeq lists it as uncharacterized. Lineage: Eukaryota; Metazoa; Chordata; Aves; Galliformes; Phasianidae. The record is from RefSeq and is a predicted model, not a curated record. The transcript has 3 exons.